UUAUCUUCAUUCGUUGUUCGAUGUUGAUAUUCCUUCUUUGCUUGUGGACAAUUGCUGUAUGCUCGCAGUUGUAUCCCCAGCCAGUCUUCUGGAUCAUUGCCGUAUGCUUGCAAUGUUAUCCCUUUUGAAGUUGCCAGUGGGCCCUUUCACCGUUUGCUAGUGAUUUGUUCCCAGGAGUAUUGAUUGUAUAUCAAUACAUCCCCAGCUAGUCCUUGUGGGUAAUUGCCGGAUGUUUGCAAUUCAUCCUCAG
This 250-nucleotide long non-coding RNA is filed under the name Lathyrus oleraceus (garden pea). RNAcentral's name for it is "Pisum sativum (pea) long non-coding RNA (PSAT_LNC014543)". The record is from RNAcentral. Lineage: Eukaryota; Viridiplantae; Streptophyta; Magnoliopsida; Fabales; Fabaceae.